This 460-nucleotide ribosomal RNA is filed under the name uncultured bacterium. RNAcentral describes it as "partial 16S ribosomal RNA". It matches the Rfam family "Bacterial small subunit ribosomal RNA", at positions 338 to 795 of the family's 1533-position model. The record is from RNAcentral.
CCUACGGGUGGCAGCAGUGAGGAAUAUUGGUCAAUGGGCGCGAGCCUGAACCAGCCAAGUCGCGUGAGGGAAGACGGCCCUACGGGUUGUAAACCUCUUUUGCCGGGGAGCAACGGGCGCCACGUGUGGCGCCCCUGAGAGUACCCGGAGACAAAGCAUCGGCUAACCCCGUGCCAGCAGCCGCGGUAAUACGGAGGAUGCGAGGUUAUUCCGGAUUUAUUGGGUUUAAAGGGUGCGUAGGCGGAGCGUUAAGUCAGUGGUCAAAUUGAGGGGCUCAACCCCUGCCCGCCAUUGAAACUGGCGCUCUUGAGUGGAAGAGAAGUAUGCGGAAUGCGUGGUGUAGCGGUGAAAUGCAUAGAUAUCACGCAGAACCCCGAUUGCGAAGGCAGCAUGCCGGCUUCCGACUGACGCUGAAGCACGAAAGCGUGGGGAUCGAACAGGAUUAGAUACCCUUGUAGUC